Parasteatoda tepidariorum (common house spider) is the source of this 3262-nucleotide long non-coding RNA. RefSeq lists it as uncharacterized. The record is from RefSeq and is a predicted model, not a curated record. NCBI's taxonomy places the organism in Eukaryota, Metazoa, Arthropoda, Arachnida, Araneae, Theridiidae.
ACAACAUUUUAUUUAAUGAUAACUGAAAAAUUUUUGAAUUAUAAGGUGUACACAUUUUUACAUCAUUUUUAAAGAGUGCAGUUUUGUAAGGCAAAAUGCAAAAUUCGAAAGAAACCGUGCGUAUAGUUACUGAGUUUUUGGCUAAGAAAGUAAAGAAAAAAAUUAAAUGCACUAAAUUUAAAAAGUAAUUAAGUACAAGUUGAAGUAUGUACUUUUUAUUUUUACAAAGAAAAAAAGUAACAGCAUUUUUAUGUGUGUUCCGGGCAAAUACCCCUUUGCUUUGAAAAAAAAAACUGUGUAAGGAUUAUUGAGUAAAGGUCUACCGGGUUAUUAUCCUUAUUAAUCCGAUUGUUAUGAUUACUAUCCGCCAUUUACAUGCAAUAAUCCCGUCUUUCAGUAAAUGUGAUGAAGAAGCAGAUUAAUCCCAUUGUCCUGUAUUUCUAACAAAGGUGAUUUUCUUUAAAGUUACAGCACACAGCCCGAUAUCGCAUACAUUGCGUUAUUUCCUAAAAUAAAUCAUUAAAUAAUCAAUGAUCAAAUAAUCAAUGAUCAAAUAAUUAAAAAUGAUCAAUCAAAUAAAUUUGUCUAUUAAAUUUCAAUAAUACAAAUAAGUAUUUUUUUUUCAAUUACAAUUUAUGUUAUUUAUUAAAACCAGAACGUAAGUAUAUCGCUUUCUUAAUCAGAAUCAUUAUUAGUAACUGCUAAGGGGUUAACAAAGGGCUACUUUGUUAUAUUCACGGGAAAUUUAACUGAAAUUUCUUUUCGUUGCUUGGUGAUAAAAUUUUUUGAUUUGUCAAUGGUAAAUUUUAUCCGUAGUUGUUUAACAACAGUUAUACACUCUCUAGCCAAAAAUUAUCCGGACAUUCGGUUGUCAUGGUGACGGAAGUAUAAUGGUGUGGGGGUGUUUCUCGUGGUUUGGUUUGUGUCCGUUAGCUCCUGUGGUUGGAAACAUGAACUCUGAGGUGUGUGUGGACAAUGCUCCCAACUCCAUGGCAAUAUUUCCGAAGGCCCAUUUCUCUUAAAACAGGAUAACUGCUCCAUUCACACACUGAUGCGGACGUGCUUUGACGAAAUAGGUGUUCAAAAACUGGACUGGCCUUCUCAGAACCCCGAUCUAAAUCCAAUAGAACACCUUUUGGGAUGAAUUAGAGGGCAGAUCAAAGUAGCCAGCCAAAUCGACCCUCCUCACUGUAAGCACUCACUUCAGAUGUGAUGGAAGUCAAUUCCUAUGGGCACCUAUCAAAAACUGGUGGAAAGUCUUCCCAGACUUUGUGCUGGCUGUCAUCGAUGCAACAUCAUAUUAAUAUGUGCCUCAGAACGCUCUAAGUCCAUACCACUGGGUUGUCCGGAUACUUUUGGCCGGAUAGUGUAUCUAUAAAGAAAUUUCCCUCGAACAUCGUGCAGUAUUCUCUUGUAAAAUAAUAAGUAUUUACAUUGCAUAUAUGCCACUAAUAUGAUAAUAAUACGUUACCUUCUAAGCAUGAAUAAAAUCCCUUUAACCAAGAGGACAAUGUCCGUGGCAAACGUAUUUCAAGCUCAUAAUUUUUAUGAAAUUUUUUUUUUUUGAUUAUCUCAUAUUAGAUUUGGUAUAAAAUCUGCAGAAAGCAAAGAUCGAUAAGUAAAAAUUUGGUGCAGGUCGUGUUGCAGUGCUUGAUGGAUUGUCGUUGUCUUGGCAAAAUCACUGUGGAAAUUUGGUGGCGUAAGACAUGUUCGACAUUGUUCAGUUCUUGUUAAAUCGAAUCUUUAUACCUGAACUCAGACAGUAAUUUGGGGUCUCAUUUAAUGACAUAGGCAUAAAACGUUCCAAAAAAAUCUCCUCCCACCAUCUUUUAAAAUUGAGUCGUAGAUGACGACGUCACUCCCGCCUUUUUGUGACAAACUUUCUGAUCUGUUCAAGUGUGCUAACGGUUUUCUAGCCACCUUAUGUGUCUAACAUGGUCUCAUCACACUUCUUUCCGGUUACAGCACUUGAAAAUUCUUUGUCCCACAGUUCGGGACAGUUGGACAUAUUCAAGAAGCUUAUACUAAGGCUUUGAAGGACAUUACGUAAAAGGUAUACUGUGUACUGGGAACAGGGUGGUUUCAGACUUUUCAAGCUAGAAGACGAACUUAUCAGUUGUUACAUUUUUUUAAAAUUUGCAACAGAACAUUCACUCAAGAAAGAAACCUAGCAACAGCCAGUAGUGUUGCAUUUACAUCCUUGCCCUCGGUUAGCAAGCUUAGAAGCUACUAAAGGUUCAUUCUUUUUCUUUAAUAGAAAACUUAAUACGUUAUCAGAAUUUUUACAUUUAACUUUGUUUUCUUUGUGUAAUCACCUAUAAUGAUUUAUUAAUUUCUGCAAUUGUUUUUAAUAACGUCACUCAAUAUACUAUAAUUGAAAACCCUCGAUGCCUGGACAUUUCGCUGAUUAUAAUGUAUUGACGUGCACAGGUUUGCGCCAAUCAAUGCUCUAAAGAACAUUCUGGUUAGCCGUGCUUUAGUUACCUGGAAAUUUCGUUUAAAACAAUGUAUCAUCAAGAUGCUUGCACCAAAGCUUAAAGGAAAUUCUGGAAAAGAUUUGUUGUAACGCCUUCUAUCAAUACCUCCUAGAAGAGAGUAGGCUUCAGCACGGUUACCAUAAACAAGAAAUUUGAUCCUUUAGUAGUUCAACAAUAAUGCCAUAUUUCGUAUUUUCUUCCACUGCGCAGCUUAGUAGCCCGAACAUAGUGACCACUUUCUUAUUUUACUCCACUGCGCAGUUUACGUUUGUUACGUCGGACUACUAAAUUGAUCAGUGCUGAGGACUAAGAGUUGCUGUUUCGAUGCCUUGAAAUCUUGCUGAAAGCGAUGUGUUGAUGCUGAAAGGACGUAAUAAGAAACUUUUAAGUGUAUUGAACACUGUUCUGACCCGAUAAAUAAAUGUUUUUUAAUUGGCACAGUAAUAUUACUUCUUUGACAAACUCUCUAAAAGAAUAAACUCAGGAAGGUUUGCAGACUUAUAAUGUUUUUUUUGGGGGGCUUAAAACUAUUUAAGAACUUUUACGUUACGCAGUAUCUCCGUCCAUGUGUUGUAUAAGCUCUCAUAAUCAGGGCUAGCAAGAAACUAAGACAUUUAAUAUUUUGGAAACAUGAAAAAAGCAAUAGGAUAAAACAAUAGCAGUUCCUUAUAAUUUUUUUUUAUUUUGUUUCAGCUGAAUAAAAAUGGGGCUGGAAAAGAAAGAAGAAAAUCUAAAUUGAAUGGCUGAUUUUCUUGUUCCAUAGUAAAAAUAAUAAAAAAUAAUAA